UCGGAAGCGCCUCGCUGGCGUAGUAUGAGGGAUCACGUGGCGCGCUCUUCAUAGGUUUUGCUGUCAGCGCUCACUGAAAACACCACGCGCGAGCUCUCCCGGACAUUUCUUGAACGCCACUGCGCGCGGUCGCCGCGAUGAAGUAUCCCGAACCAGCUUCUUGCGUGAAAGUGUCGGUACCCGCGGAGUCCGGUCCAAACAGCCGCCUCAAGUCUACAUGCGACUCCGACUUCGCGUCGACAUUAUUUUGUCCCCAGCAGUGGCAGCCGCACAGCUCGUGUUCCUGCCG
Long non-coding RNA from Dermacentor albipictus, 289 nucleotides. RefSeq lists it as uncharacterized. NCBI's taxonomy places the organism in Eukaryota, Metazoa, Arthropoda, Arachnida, Ixodida, Ixodidae. The record is from RefSeq and is a predicted model, not a curated record.